GACGAACGCUGGCGGCGUGCUUAACACAUGCAAGUCGAACGGAAAGGCCCUGCUUUUGUGGGGUGCUCGAGUGGCGAACGGGUGAGUAACACGUGAGUAACCUGCCCUUGACUUUGGGAUAACUUCAGGAAACUGGGGCUAAUACCGGAUAGGAGCUCCUGCUGCAUGGUGGGGGUUGGAAAGUUUCGGCUGUUGGGGAUGGACUCGCGGCUUAUCAGCUUGUUGGUUGGUUAGUGGCUUACCAAGGCAGUGACGGGUAGCCGGCCUGAGAGGGUGACCGGCGACAUUGCGACUGAGAUAGGGCCCAGACUCCUAUGGGAGGCAGCAGUGGGGAAUAUUGCACAAUGGGAGGACGCCUGAUGCAGCAACCCCGCGUGCGUGAUGCCGUCCUUCGGGUUGUAAACAGCUUUAGCCUGUGACGAAGCGUGAGUGACGGUAAUGGGUAAAGAAGCACCGGCUAACUACGUG
This 468-nucleotide ribosomal RNA is filed under the name uncultured bacterium. RNAcentral describes it as "partial 16S ribosomal RNA". It matches the Rfam family "Bacterial small subunit ribosomal RNA", at positions 28 to 507 of the family's 1533-position model. The record is from RNAcentral.